RNAcentral lists this ribosomal RNA (432 nucleotides) under uncultured bacterium. RNAcentral describes it as "bacterial SSU rRNA". It matches the Rfam family "Bacterial small subunit ribosomal RNA", at positions 772 to 1200 of the family's 1533-position model. The record is from RNAcentral.
ACUAAAUAGAUACCCCGGUAGUCCACGCCCUAAACGAUGCGAACUGGACGUUGGUUGCAACUUGGCAAAUCAGUGUCGAAAGCUAAACGCGUUAAGUUCGCCGCCUGGGGAGUACGGUCGCAAGACUGAAACUCAAAGGAAUUGACGGGGGCCCGCACAAGCGGUGGAGUAUGUGGUUUAAUUCGAUGCAACGCGCAGAACCUUACCUGGCCUUGACAUGUCGCGAACUUUCCAGAGAUGGAUUGGUGCCUUCGGGAACGCGAACACGAGGUGCUGCAUGGCUGUCGUCAGCUCGUGUCGUGAGAUGUUGGGUUAAGUCCCGCAACGAGCGCAACCCUUGUCCUUAGUUGCCAGCACGUAAAGGUGGGAACUCUAAGGAGACUGCCGGUGACAAACCGGAGGAAGGUGGGGAUGACGUCAAGUCGAUCAGUC